CCCUUCGUGGUGUAAUGGUCAGCACGCUCUGCCCGUAUUCGAGAGGUCGGUGGUUCGAAUCCCGGCGAAGGCA
RNAcentral lists this transfer RNA (73 nucleotides) under Stegodyphus mimosarum. It matches the Rfam family "tRNA". Rfam says of the family: Transfer RNA (tRNA) molecules are approximately 80 nucleotides in length. Their secondary structure includes four short double-helical elements and three loops (D, anti-codon, and T loops). Lineage: Eukaryota; Metazoa; Arthropoda; Arachnida; Araneae; Eresidae. The record is from Rfam by way of RNAcentral.